CCGAAUCUAAACCAAAUUUGAAUCAGUAUCAAUUUUCAAUUUUCUAACCGAAUAGUUUAUGAUACAUUGAACACGAGCCGAAUUGAUCCAUUUAUAUUGAGUAUCAUUUUUAUUCAAAUAUUAAAAUAAUCAUCAUUUAGUCUAAAUAAACAUAAUAUUAUAUAUAAUAAUUAUGAAUUUAAAUUAUAAUAUAUGUAUGUGUGACGCCCCCAGAUCCACAUCCCGCAGAUCUGGUCCGCCACUAAACAUCUGGCUCAAAACAACACUUGAAUUACAUAUUAAUAUUACAUAAUCCAACUCUUGCCCCACAAGUCCAGGGUCGCUUGUCUUACAACAUUACUACCGAGUCCAACUUUAUUACAUAAAUGGAAGUCUGAUUUUAGGCCAUUAUAAUAACUAUAGCUCGUACUAACAAGCAGCGUAGUCUAGCAGUCUCAGCUUGGGUGAUGCGCCUUUUCCCUGCCUUUGCCAAAAACCCAUUUCCGGGCGGUUCUCUUGAGUUGUGCCAUAUUCACUAUUUACUGCUCAAAAAGAAUAAAAUAGAUGCAAGAAUGAGCAAUCAAAUUGCUCAGCAAGUCCACAUAGAACAAAAUAACAAUCAACAGAAUAUGCACGUAAGGCAUAAAAAACAAUUCAAGUCAAAGCAACAAAGCAGCUACCGUCAAAUGACAACACAAGUUCAAGUAAAGAAAACGCUGGUCUUCCACCUUUCGGCAACACUACAUGGCUCGAUCAGCACCAUUUCGUGAAUACCGUUCUCCUGUGUGACCUUUGCAGUCGGAUCGUAACCGCACAAGACACACCUACCACUCUCAUUUGCUAGCAUAAGAGUUAACAUUUGUAACCCUAAACUAUCUGCCUUACCAGAUAGUAAAUUCAACUCUACCACGAAUUUAAGAAAUUCGUGUUGACCAGCUUGAACAGAUUCCUCCGAAUACAAGGAAAUUCUCACAAACAAACACUACUCAUCUUUACCAAAGACGUGCGAACAAUGCACCCUUUCAACAAAGAUUACCCGAAGGUAGAAGUGAAGAAUAAUUAAAAGAAUUAAAUUCCAAAGAAUAAGAUGAUCUCCAAAAAGGGAGUAAGUUAAUUGUGGUGAGAUCAUCGCUGCCAUGUAUUCACUUCGAGUUUCAAAGAUUCAGAAUAUUAUCAUUAUAGGAUUAGCUCAUUCUCGAACAAUGGGUGGGCUCGAAUUAUAGAAAGUGAUCAUAUGUGAACAAUAUCUUUAAAGGCUUCAAAAUGAAACGGAGACAUUUUCUCAAUUCACAAUGGUACGAAAUGAAAUAUUUCCACAAUCAACACUUAUCACAAAAUUAUGAAAUAGACACGAAAAAUUUCACGUCGAGACAAGGAUAGUGAACUUGCCUGACAUCCUUAGCUUGAUAAUAUUCCAAUUUAUCACGUAUAAUCAGGCUUCGCCUUUCCAGGCAAUAAAUAUUCUAUAUCACGCAAAAUGAUAAUUUCAGUAUACUCGUAAAAAUAAUGAUCUUGACUCAUUUAUUAACUUAAAUCUAUAUAGCUCUCUAUUUAAAUAAUAUCUUGAGUUUUUAAUUGAUUAUCUAAUUCUUUUUUUAUUGCACGGACUUCACUAAAAUGUUAUACUAUCACUUUGCCCACUUUUACACAGGUAUAACAUUUGGACUAAUGUAGUUACAUUAAAAUUAUAUAAUACCCAAUUCCCUUUCUUUUUAUUCUCUUUCUUUUAUUCUUAACUAAUAACCCCAAUUAAACCUUUAAUAUGCAAAAUUCUAUUAUUUAUUACCACGGUGUCCACUGACAUUUGAAUGAUUCUUCCCCUAAUAUUAGAUUCCUUCACUUUCUAAACAAUUCAACUCAUUCCUUAUUAAAUUCUUAAACACCAAUUAGGAUAUUUAUUAAAUCUCAAAUCUCAUUCUCUCUUUAAUUAUACCUCUAAACAUUCUUUUUAGCUCCGUUUUAAUCGCUCAAUAUAAUAAAUCUAAAAUAACUUCCCAUCUAUCCUAUUUAUCUCUCCUUUUAAUAUAAAACCAAAUUCUUUUAUAAAUUCAAAUUAUUAUAUAAUUUAUUUCCUUUUAUUAACCCAAUUAUCAUAAGUCAAUCAUUUCUCUCCCAUUAUUUUCUUUUUAAUUCACUCAAAUCCAUCCUUUUAUAUUUAAUUCCCACAUUUUAUCAAUUUUAUUUGUUCUUAUUAGCACUCUCACUUUUCAAUUUACCAAAAUAUCCCCAUCUUCCCCAAACUCACCUUUCUCCCUCAUCCCUCAUCCUACUCUUUUCUCUCUCUCUCUCUCUCUCUCCCCCCUCUUCCGCGUCUCCCUCGGUUCCUACCACUCAACGCCACCAUCGGUGACCUCUCUCCGUCGCCACACACACACGGCUCACCCAUCUCACCCACACAACACACACAAAACCCCCACCUCAAUCUCUCUUUUCCCCUGCUGUCUCUCUUCUUCACCAUUAGUCGGUUGCGGUUUUUUUUCGGUUUUUCCACUAUUAUUUACUACUCUUGUGCAUAAUGAUUUUUUUAAAAAAAAUAUAAAAUUUUCAUGAACAUGUACAAUAUGUUCGGUUACUAUUUACUAUUGUUUCUAUAUGAGGAUAUAGGAAACAUUACAUACUUUCAUCUAAAAAAUCUUAAUACACAAUAAAAACUAAAACAUACAUAUUUUGAUAAGAAAUUAGAUGAUGUCAAGUCAAUAAAAUUACCCAAAAUCAACUAAUUAUGAAAUUCAAAUAAAAAGUUUUCAAAAAGUACAUAAAUAAAAAAGUAGAAUAGGUUUCAUAAUAAAAUUUGAUCAGCAGAUUAACAGCAGAAAUAUUUCUGCUUUGUGGCAAAUCACAAUAGCCCUAAGUUUCAAUCAAGCGCUCCACCAAAUAUUUGAGUGCCUGGUUAUUUAAGUGACUUAGCAAGUAUGCAAGUACGGGUCUGUGGAAGAAGAACCUCUAUAUAAAAUUAGAUGUGAAGUUUAAAAAUGACUAAGGUGCUUUAUUACUAUUAUUGAUAUAUAUAUAAAUAUAUUUAUAUAUAUAUAUUUCGGUUCGGUUAAUUUCGGUGCGGUUUUAACAUAAAACCGAAAAUAAAACCGCACCACUAAUUUCGGUUUUUUAUCUCGGUUAUUUUCGGUUUUAUUUGCGGUUUGGUUUUUUUUGGUGUGGUUUUUCGGUUUUUUUAGGUUUUUUUGCGGUUUCGGUUUUUUCUGCUCGCCCCUACCUCAUCCUACUCUUUUCUCUCUCUCUCUCUCCCCCCUCUUCCGCGUCUCCCUCGGUUCCCACCACUCAACGCCACCAUCGGCGACCUUUCUCCGUCGCCACACACACACGGCUCACCCAUCUCACCCACACAACACACACAAAACCCCCACCUCAAUCUCUCUUUUCCCCUGCUGUCUCUCUUCUUCUCGACCUUCCCCUCCGUUUUAACAUCGCCGUUACCCUCCGUCGGCAUCGUCGACGUGAGCUCCGGCCAGCCACCCCACACACUUACUGCUCCGAUGCCAACCACAAUUCCAAUAAUCAACAACCAUUAAUUCAAUACACUUCAUAUAUAACCCCCAAAUUGAUUAAGAGCUCUAAUUUAAUAUAUGUAUAUUAGAAUAUAUGUGUCAAUGGAUAGUAAUCGCAGGUGGGGUUAAGAAAAUGUGCUAUUAAAAUGAAUUUAUAUCUCAUAAAUGGUUAAUUUAAGCUAAAAGGGAGAUUAAUACCUUAAAAUAGAUUUUGCAGAUUUGAUUCUCUUCUGGUCAAAUCGCCAAUACCUCCGUAUUGCUUUUGUUUUGAUAAAAGAAGUACUGACUAAUUUCCUUGCUAUUUAUACAACAUUACUAAUUACCAUUAGUAUUUAAUCAUACUUUAGCACUUGCUAAUACUCCACUAAUCAUUUUUAAUUUAUUUGUUUACUUGGAGGCUACACAAUUUUUCUUGGGCGUUACUCAGUAGCCUUAGGCUCCAAGUUUCGAAACUUGGGGCUCAAGUCCCGCUACGUUAAAAAUAUUCCACGGCUUGGCUCGUUUAUUCUCGUUUCGGUUUUUGUCCGACAAAUAUUUAAAUAUUUUACAAAAAGAAUAAAUAAAUCAA
Molecule: long non-coding RNA, 4050 nt
Filed under: Daucus carota (carrot)
Lineage: Eukaryota; Viridiplantae; Streptophyta; Magnoliopsida; Apiales; Apiaceae
Description: long non-coding RNA (DCAR_LNC006759)
Source: RNAcentral